RNAcentral lists this ribosomal RNA (254 nucleotides) under uncultured bacterium. RNAcentral describes it as "partial 16S ribosomal RNA". It matches the Rfam family "Bacterial small subunit ribosomal RNA", at positions 524 to 776 of the family's 1533-position model. The record is from RNAcentral.
UACAGAGGUGGCAAGCGUUGUUCGGAAUUACUGGGCGUAAAGCGUGCGCAGGCGGUCUGUUAAGACCGAUGUGAAAUCCCCGGGCUUAACCUGGGAACUGCAUUGGUGACUGGCAGGCUUUGAGUGUGGCAGAGGGAGGUAGAAUUCCACGUGUAGCAGUGAAGUGCGUAGAGAUGUGGAGGAAUACCGAUGGCGAAGGCAGCCUCCUGGGCCAACACUGACGCUCAUGCACGAAAGCGUGGGGAGCAAACAGG